AAUAAGCGCAACCAUGAGUUUCCGUGUCUAAAUUUAAUUGUCCGUCUUAUUUAAAUUUUUAUAUAAUUAGUAUUUUAUUUGUUAUUAUAUUAUAAAAUAUGAAUGGUACUUUAUGCGUGACUUAUUUUUCUUAGUUUUUUUUAAAAAAAAUUCAAAUAAGACGAACGAUUAAAGUUUUUUUAGAUAAUGAACGAUUAAAGUUGGACACGGAAAUUUAUAGCUGCACUUAUU
Oryza meridionalis is the source of this 231-nucleotide non-coding RNA. Lineage: Eukaryota; Viridiplantae; Streptophyta; Magnoliopsida; Poales; Poaceae. The record is from Rfam.